This 556-nucleotide long non-coding RNA is filed under the name Gossypium raimondii (Peruvian cotton). Its description in RNAcentral is "long non-coding RNA (GRAI_LNC001100)". Lineage: Eukaryota; Viridiplantae; Streptophyta; Magnoliopsida; Malvales; Malvaceae. The record is from RNAcentral.
GGUUGAGUAUCAGAAAGUCAUGUUUGCAUAUGCGGUGGAUACUUGGCACCAAAGGAUCCACUGUGGCUUAAGAUAUGGAAGCUAAAACUGCCCCAACAUAGUGAUGCGACAGAAAUUGGUAAUCAAUGUUGAACGAUGUCGACGUAACCUGACGGAUGAUGAUUGCUGCAAUUUAUGUGAAGUUGGCACCAAAUCUAAUCUUCAUGCCCUUACAGACUGUUGUAGUGCUAAAGCACUAUGGGUAAAGCAGAUCCUAUGGCACUGAGAAGUACAUGCCAGUAUUAGUAUUUCUUUCUUCAUUAUGUUGGAGAUGUUGAAGCAAAGCAAUUCCAUGCUGUUGGCCAUUAACUCUUUCUUAUUAUUAGUAACAUUUCCUGUCUUGGCUUUGGAUCAGUUUCAUUAGAUUUUAGUGCGUUGAAUAGUCUUUUCUUCGUUCGGAUUUGAGUAUGAAGGCCCACCCCAAAGAGUGAAUAGUCCUUUGUUUUUGUGGGUAAUCGCCACGUAACUUAACCCCAAUCACUCCCUCAAGAAUAGGAGUCAAUAAUAAAGUGCACAU